This 65-nucleotide transfer RNA is filed under the name Dipodomys ordii (Ord's kangaroo rat). It matches the Rfam family "tRNA". Rfam says of the family: Transfer RNA (tRNA) molecules are approximately 80 nucleotides in length. Their secondary structure includes four short double-helical elements and three loops (D, anti-codon, and T loops). The record is from Rfam by way of RNAcentral. Lineage: Eukaryota; Metazoa; Chordata; Mammalia; Rodentia; Heteromyidae.
GGUGGCUCAGUGAUAGAGUGCUUGCCUUGCAUGCAUGAGGCCCUGGGUUUGAUUCCCCAGCACCA